GCUCUUGGGUUGUAAACCUCUUUUCUCAGGGAAGAAAAAAAUGACGGUACCUGAGGAAUAAGCAUCGGCUAACUCCGUGCCAGCAGCCGCGGUAAUACGGAGGAUGCAAGCGUUAUCCGGAAUGAUUGGGCGUAAAGGGUCCGCAGGUGGCUGUGUAAGUCUGCUGUUAAAUAGUCAUGCUCAACAUGAUCAAGGCAGUGGAAACUACAUAGCUAGAGUGCGUUCGGGGCAGAGGGAAUUCCUGGUGUAGCGGUGAAAUGCGUAGAUAUCAGGAAGAACACCGGUGGCGAAAGCGCUCUGCUAGGCCGCAACUGACACUGAGGGACGAAAGCUAGGGGAGCGAAUGGGAUUA
This 352-nucleotide ribosomal RNA is filed under the name Trichormus variabilis K65. RNAcentral describes it as "bacterial SSU rRNA". It matches the Rfam family "Bacterial small subunit ribosomal RNA", at positions 414 to 780 of the family's 1533-position model. Lineage: Bacteria; Bacillati; Cyanobacteriota; Cyanophyceae; Nostocales; Nostocaceae. The record is from RNAcentral.